CGCCCUGGCGGGUAACCGCCCGGGUGAUCGGUCAGAAGUCAGCAGAGGCCAUAGUAGCCCAACGCCCGGUGUAAUGGCCGGGACAUGGCGAAGGGC
Molecule: non-coding RNA, 96 nt
Filed under: Desulfosarcina cetonica
Lineage: Bacteria; Pseudomonadati; Thermodesulfobacteriota; Desulfobacteria; Desulfobacterales; Desulfosarcinaceae
Source: RNAcentral